GGAGGAUCCGAGCGUUAUCCGGAUUUAUUGGGUUUAAAGGGAGCGUAGGUGGAUUGUUAAGUCAGUUGUGAAAGUUUGCGGCUCAACCGUAAAAUUGCAGUUGAUACUGGCAGUCUUGAGUACAGUAGAGGUAGGCGGAAUUCGUGGUGUAGCGGUGAAAUGUUCA
This 166-nucleotide ribosomal RNA is filed under the name Campylobacter jejuni. RNAcentral describes it as "partial 16S ribosomal RNA". It matches the Rfam family "Bacterial small subunit ribosomal RNA", at positions 527 to 692 of the family's 1533-position model. Lineage: Bacteria; Pseudomonadati; Campylobacterota; Epsilonproteobacteria; Campylobacterales; Campylobacteraceae. The record is from RNAcentral.